CCUACGGGAGGCAGCAGUGAGGAAUAUUGGUCAAUGGGCGCGAGCCUGAACCAGCCAAGUAGCGUGAAGGAUGACUGCCCUACGGGUUGUAAACUUCUUUUAUAAAGGUAUAAAGUGAGGCACGUGUGCCUUUUUGUAUGUACUUUAUGAAUAAGGAUCGGCUAACUCCGUGCCAGCAGCCGCGGUAAUACGGAGGAUCCGAGCGUUAUCCGGAUUUAUCGGGUUUAAAGGGAGCGUAGAUGGGUUGUUAAGUCAGUUGUGAAAGUUUGCGGCUCAACCGUAAAAUUGCAAUUGAUACUGGCAGUCUUGAGUACAGGUGAGGUAGGCGGAAUUCGUGGUGUAGCGGUGAAAUGCUUAGAUAUCACGAAGAACUCCGAUUGCGAAGGCAGCUUACUAAACUGCCACUGACAUUGAUGCUCGAAAGUGUGGGUAUCAAACAGGAUUAGAUACCCGAGUAGUC
Molecule: ribosomal RNA, 460 nt
Filed under: uncultured bacterium
Lineage: Bacteria
Description: partial 16S ribosomal RNA
Rfam family: Bacterial small subunit ribosomal RNA
Source: RNAcentral